GUCCACGCCGUAAACGAUGGAUGCUAGCUGUUAGGAGUAUCGACCCUCCUAGUAGCGAAGCUAACGCGUUAAGCAUCCCGCCUGUGGAGUACGGUCGCAAGACUAAAACAUAAAGUAAUUGACGGGGACCCGCACAAGCGGUGGAGCGUGUUGUUUAAUUCGAUGGUAAGCGAAGAACCUUACCCAGGCUUGACAUCCUGCUAAUCACUCCGAAAGGAGAGAGUGCCUUCGGGCCGCAGUGACAGGUGUUGCAUGGCCGUCGU
This 263-nucleotide ribosomal RNA is filed under the name uncultured bacterium. RNAcentral describes it as "partial 16S ribosomal RNA". It matches the Rfam family "Bacterial small subunit ribosomal RNA", at positions 793 to 1055 of the family's 1533-position model. The record is from RNAcentral.